CGCCGGUGGGCGGCGCCGGCCCGGGAGCUGACGGUUCCCGUGAAGGGGUGCGGCUUGUACAGCACGCGCACCGGCGG
RNAcentral lists this transfer RNA (77 nucleotides) under Streptomyces sp. 1-11. Its description in RNAcentral is "tRNA-Val". Lineage: Bacteria; Bacillati; Actinomycetota; Actinomycetes; Kitasatosporales; Streptomycetaceae. The record is from RNAcentral.